Molecule: long non-coding RNA, 1277 nt
Filed under: Homo sapiens (human)
Lineage: Eukaryota; Metazoa; Chordata; Mammalia; Primates; Hominidae
Description: uncharacterized LOC339260, transcript variant 9 (LOC339260)
Source: RNAcentral
AGAGAAGGGUGUCCCAGAUGUAGGCAAAGCGUCCUCCAUGUGUUCCUGGAGGACCGUCCCAAGUCCUUCUCCAUUCUCCCAACCUCUUGGGCCUGGAAGUCAGACAAGUACCGGUGAUUGCCGGUUUCUUGUCUGAUUUUUGCACUUCUCUGGCAAGCUGCCCCCUCUGAAGAGUUGACUAUUUGGGAGUUACUCACUGAUGGUUCAGCCACUUCCAGAACCUACCCCAAGAGCAAGACUUGAAACCAACUCGCACCCUCAAAGCUCCGGAAGCCAUUCAGUGUUUCCAUCUUGGCUGAGUGAGUUCUUCACUGAAACUCAAUUUGACUUUGACAGUCAUCUAAUGAGAACUCAAAAGUCAUUCUUGGUUCAGCCACAGUCAAAGAACUUGCAGAGCAUUCUCUGACGAGGUCCUCAAGGACAACUGAGAGAAGGGAUGUCCUCCACCUUUUCAAUCUGAUUUGCUCUUUGCCAUGCAGACCUGUGGAUGAAGAGCCAGAGUCCUCCAAGGUGAAGCUGGACUGAAUAUUUCUGUCCAUAAGACUAUUAGAAUCCCCCAAAGUGGGAUACCAGUGAGGACCUCACCAGCAGCUGCUGUCUCUCCAAUGCAGAGCUUCCUGCCUCCUGCCCAGCCCCUGCUGUCAGAGAUACUUGGUGCUUCCAGUUCUGGAGACUUCCUUGAGUUCUGUGACUCAAAACAACUUCCUUCCCCUGUGGGCAUCAACAAUGAGAGAUCUUCAGAUGCGAUCAGGCACUCCAGUCCUUCCAUCUCCCACAAUGUUGGAGACCUGUGUUCCCUGCUGUAGAAACCUCUGCCAUUCCCUUUAUCUCUGAAGACAGAUGGACUUGACUGUCAGCUUAGCUUGGUUUCAGGAGGAAAGGAAGAUAAACCCCUGUGUUUAAGCUGCCGUGUUAAAUGGGAGGCACCUGGUCUUUUUUCUUUUUCUUUUUUAAAGACUGGGUCUCGCUCUGUUAUCCAAGCUGCAGUGCAGUGAUGUGAUCAUAGCUCACCUCAGCCUUGAACUCUCAGGCUCAAGCGAUCCUCCAGCCUCAGCCUCCUGAAUUGCUGGGAUUAUAGCACCUGGCCAAUUUUAAAAUCUUUCUGUAGCGACAGGAUCUCACUAUGUUGCCCAGGCUGGUCUUGAACCCCUGGCCUCAAGGAAUUCUCCCACAACCUCCCAAAGUGCUAAGAUUACAGGCAAGAGCCAUGGUGCCCAGCCACCUCUGGUCUUCCCUCAGUUUGCUUUCAUUAAAGGACAAACACAUGCCUUGCAAAA